UAGUGGCGAACGGGUGAGUAACACGUGGGCAAUCUGCCCUUCACUCUGGGACAAGCCCUGGAAACGGGGUCUAAUACCGGAUAAUACCUGCCUGGGCAUCUGGGUGGGUUAAAAGCUCCGGCGGUGAAGGAUGAGCCCGCGGCCUAUCAGCUUGUUGGUGAGGUAGUGGCUCACCAAGGCGACGACGGGUAGCCGGCCUGAGAGGGCGACCGGCCACACUGGGACUGAGACACGGCCCAGACUCCUACGGGAGGCAGCAGUGGGGAAUAUUGCACAAUGGGCGAAAGCCUGAUGCAGCGACGCCGCGUGAGGGAUGACGGCCUUCGGGUUGUAAACCUCUUUCAGCAGGGAAGAAGCGAGAGUGACGGUACCUGCAGAAGAAGCGCCGGCUAACUACGUGCCAGCAGCCGCGGUAAUACGUAGGGCGCAAGCGUUGUCCGGAAUUAUUGGGCGUAAAGAGCUCGUAGGCGGCUUGUCACGUCGGGUGUGAAAGCCCGGGGCUUAACCCCGGGUCUGCAUUCGAUACGGGCUAGCUAGAGUGUGG
RNAcentral lists this ribosomal RNA (544 nucleotides) under Streptomyces sp. 303D11. RNAcentral's name for it is "bacterial SSU rRNA". It matches the Rfam family "Bacterial small subunit ribosomal RNA", at positions 93 to 651 of the family's 1533-position model. The record is from RNAcentral. Lineage: Bacteria; Bacillati; Actinomycetota; Actinomycetes; Kitasatosporales; Streptomycetaceae.